UCGUACCCCGGUUACUUAAGCAUAUCAAUAAGCGGAGGAAAAGAAACCAACAGGGAUUGCCUCAGUAACGGCGAGUGAAGCGGCAACAGCUCAAAUUUGAAAUCUGGCUCCUUCGGGGCCCGAGUUGUAAUUUGCAGAGGAUGCGUCGGGUACGGGUGCCUUCCGAGUUCCCUGGAACGGGACGCCAUAGAGGGUGAGAGCCCCGUCUGGUAGGACACCCAGCCCGUGUGACGCUCCCUCGACGAGUCGAGUAGUUUGGGAAUGCUGCUCUAACGGGAGGUAUACUCCUUCCAAGGCUAAAUACCGGCUGGAGACCGAUAGCGCACAAGUAGAGUGAUCGAAAGAUGAAAAGCACUUUGAAAAGAGAGUCAAACAGCACGUGAAAUUGUUAAAAGGGAAGCGCUCGCUACCAGACUUGGGUUCGGCGGUUCAACCGGGGCCACGCCCCGGGGCAUUCCGCCGGCCCAGGCCAGCAUCAGCUUUCCGUCGGGGGUAAAGGCGUCGGGAAUGUGGCUCCCCUUCGGGGGAGUGUUAUAGCCCGUCGUGUCAUACCCUUCGGGGGGCUGAGGUACGCGCUUCUGCAAGGAUGCUGGCGUAAUGGUAGCUAGUGACCCGUCUUGAAACACGGACCAAGGAGUCAACCUUAUGUGCGAGUGCCCGGGCGUAAAACCCCAGCGCGGAAUGAAAGUGAACGUAGGUGAGAGCUUCGGCGCAUCACCGACCGAUCCUGAUGUCCUCGGACGGAUUUGAGUGAGAGCAUAUAGGGUUGGACCCGAAAGAAGAUGAACUAUGCGUGUGUAGGGUGAAGCCAGAGGAAACUCUGGUGGAGGCUCGCAGCGGUUCUGACGUGCAAAUCGAUCGUCAAACAUGCGCAUGGGGGCGAAAGACUAAUCGAACCUCCCUUCGC
This 907-nucleotide ribosomal RNA is filed under the name Plectosphaerella cucumerina. RNAcentral's name for it is "eukaryotic LSU rRNA". It matches the Rfam family "Eukaryotic large subunit ribosomal RNA", at positions 24 to 951 of the family's 3401-position model. Lineage: Eukaryota; Fungi; Ascomycota; Sordariomycetes; Glomerellales; Plectosphaerellaceae. The record is from RNAcentral.